This 209-nucleotide transfer-messenger RNA is filed under the name Azospirillum lipoferum 4B. Its description in RNAcentral is "transfer-messenger RNA Azosp_lipof_4B". It matches the Rfam family "Alphaproteobacteria transfer-messenger RNA", at positions 148 to 354 of the family's 355-position model. Rfam says of the family: Bacterial tmRNA, also known as 10Sa RNA or SsrA, is named for its dual tRNA and mRNA-like properties. Its role is to liberate the mRNA from a stalled ribosome. To accomplish this part of the tmRNA is used as a reading frame that ends in a translation stop signal. The record is from RNAcentral. Lineage: Bacteria; Pseudomonadati; Pseudomonadota; Alphaproteobacteria; Rhodospirillales; Azospirillaceae.
GGGGGCGAAACAGGAUCGACACGCGUGGUAAAGGCAUGGUUUUCGCUCGGCAUGGUUCCGCCGUUAUCGGGCCGUUGCAAUAGUUGCCAACGACAACGUUGCUCAGGCUCGCCUCGCUGCCUAACGGCGGCUGGUAGCCUAAACCUAAUCCCCGAGGGUUAGCGCCCAAGGGUGGGGCCGUGGGCCGCCUAGCAACAGAAGGCCCACAC